This 205-nucleotide ribosomal RNA is filed under the name uncultured bacterium. RNAcentral's name for it is "partial 16S ribosomal RNA". It matches the Rfam family "Bacterial small subunit ribosomal RNA", at positions 568 to 774 of the family's 1533-position model. The record is from RNAcentral.
UGCGUAGGCGGCCGUGCAAGUCUGGCGUGAAAGCCCCGGGCUCAGCCCGGGAAGUGCGCUCGAAACUGCGCGGCUCGAGUGCCGGAGGGGAGAGUGGAAUUCCUGGUGUAGCGGUGAAAUGCGUAGAUAUCAGGAGGAAUACCGGUGGCGAAAGCGACUCUCUGGACGGCAACUGACGCUGAGGCAAAGACUGGGGAGGCAAACA